AAUCCGUCGACUUUUGAAAUCGUGAGGAU
RNAcentral lists this transfer RNA (29 nucleotides) under Impatiens ligulata. Its description in RNAcentral is "partial tRNA-Leu". The record is from RNAcentral. Lineage: Eukaryota; Viridiplantae; Streptophyta; Magnoliopsida; Ericales; Balsaminaceae. RNAcentral also lists the same sequence under 1 other name.